GGAGGGUGCAAGCGUUAAUCGGAAUUACUGGGCGUAAAGCGCGCGUAGGCGGUUUAGUAAGUCGGAUGUGAAAGCCCUGGGCUCAACCUGGGAAUUGCAUUCGAUACUGCUUGACUAGAGUAUGGUAGAGGGAAGUGGAAUUUCCGGUGUAGCGGUGAAAUGCGUAGAUAUCGGAAGGAACACCAGUGGCGAAGGCGACCUUCUGGGCCAAUACUGACGCUGAGGUGCGAAAGCGUGGGGAGCAAACAGGGAUUAGAUACCCUGGUAGUCCACGCCGUAAACGAUGAGAACUAGAUGUUGGGAGGGUUACCUCUCGGUGUCGCAGCUAACGCGUUAAGUUCUCCGCCUGGGGAGUACGCCGGCAACGGUA
This 370-nucleotide ribosomal RNA is filed under the name uncultured organism. RNAcentral's name for it is "partial 16S ribosomal RNA". It matches the Rfam family "Bacterial small subunit ribosomal RNA", at positions 527 to 896 of the family's 1533-position model. The record is from RNAcentral.